UCAUUCAAUCGGUGACGGUGCUGUUUGUUUACGUCUAGACGGUCAUUUUUUACGCAUUUAUCUAACGAAAAUGUCGCGAAAAAUUACUCCGAUGUUUAACGAUUAUCUGUACGGUGCUAUACGGAGGCUUGCCGUCCAGCAGGGCUUCACCGAGGAUUUAUUUUCGGUGGAUUUCGACGAGGAAACGCGUUUGGAAUGUGAUGGAUUCAUAAGUUUCGUGUUCAAAGCCAUCAUCAAUGGGGACGAUCGGGAGUUGGUGCUGUGGUGUAAGGUACCCCCGAACGACGAUCCUCGCUCGUUAGCUUUGUUUAAACGCGAGGUGUACUUCUACCAAGAAAUUCUACCGGCGAUGUACGAGUUCCAAAUGACAAAGGACGUAAACGAGCAAUCGAAUGUGGGAUUUUUCAGUGCUCCGAGGUGUUAUCUUGCACAUUGUGAUGCCGAUAAAGAGGAACCUGAGGCAGUAAUUGUUUUGGAAUAUGACGAGAACUACGAGCGCUGGGAUUGGGAUAAAUUUGAACCAAUCAAUCUGGAUCAUGCGAAGCUACUGUUGCAGCAAUUGGGUCGCCUGCACGCCGUGUCUCUGGCCAUGAAAGCUCAAAAGCCGGAGAUGUUUGAAAAACUAAAGCAUGCUCUAGAAGAUAAUGUCGACUUUGGCACACUAAUGAAGGAAUCGUUCGAUCGGGCUUUGACUACUAUGAAGACAAGAUUUGCUGCCGAUCAAGUAGAAAUCCAGCAAAUGAGGGACGCUAUUUUCAGUGAACUGAACUGUUGCGCUGGCGUCGCUAGGAUUGAGGCUUUCAGCGUUAUCAGUCAUGGUGAUUGUUGGAUCAAUAAUUUCAUUUUUACACAUAAUAAGGAAAAAGCCCCUGUCAGUGUCGUUCUCACCGAUUGGCAAUCGGUGCGGUACGCGACUCCUCUAUUGGAUUUAGGCUAUUUCUUUUUCAUCUGUACUAGCAUCGAGUUUCGCAAGGAGCAUUGGGAAGAACUGCUAAAGCACUACCACAAUACACUGAGAACUCUUCUGGACCGUCUGGGAGGAAACACCGACCGCCAGUUUCCAUUUGCCGCACUGCAGUGGCUUAUAAAAGCGUUCCGGAUGUUGUUCCCCAAGGAACAAACCGAAGAGGACGAUGAAAACGGAAAACCUGAUCAGAUAGUGGGGAUGUAAAGAUAAACGCGAUUUGAAGUUACUUAAAUUUGAUCGUACAUAUUUCGGCAUAUUGUUGUAAAAAUAUCUGUGUCCUAGCACUUUCGCAGUGCGUGGGAAACUAGCAAGCAAAAGAAAAAUCGAUUUUCCGAAAGCAAGAUUGACUUGAUG
RNA transcript from Sabethes cyaneus, 1321 nucleotides. RefSeq lists it as uncharacterized. Lineage: Eukaryota; Metazoa; Arthropoda; Insecta; Diptera; Culicidae. The record is from RefSeq and is a predicted model, not a curated record. The transcript is spliced from 3 exons.